GAUGAACGCUGGCGGCGUGCCUAACACAUGCAAGUCGAACGGAGAUUUAACGCUGAUGAAGCUUCGGCAGAUUCUUGUUAAAUCUUAGUGGCGGACGGGUGAGUAACGCGUGGGCAACCUGCCUCAUACUGGGGGAUAACAGCUGGAAACGACUGUUAAUACCGCAUAAGCGCACGGUAUCGCAUGAUACAGUGUGAAAAACUCCGGUGGUAUGAGAUGGGCCCGCGUCAGAUUAGCCAGUUGGCAGGGUAACGGCCUACCAAAGCGACGAUCUGUAGCCGGCCUGAGAGGGCGGACGGCCACAUUGGGACUGAGACACGGCCCAAACUCCUACGGGAGGCAGCAGUGGGGGAUAUUGCACAAUGGAGGAAACUCUGAUGCAGCGACGCCGCGUGAGUGAAGAAGUAUUUCGGUAUGUAAAGCUCUAUCAGCAGGGAAGAAAGACUCGUAAGAGAGAUGACGUAC
This 465-nucleotide ribosomal RNA is filed under the name rumen bacterium NK4A578. RNAcentral's name for it is "bacterial SSU rRNA". It matches the Rfam family "Bacterial small subunit ribosomal RNA", at positions 28 to 478 of the family's 1533-position model. The record is from RNAcentral. RNAcentral also lists the same sequence under 11 other names.